RNAcentral lists this ribosomal RNA (469 nucleotides) under uncultured bacterium. Its description in RNAcentral is "bacterial SSU rRNA". It matches the Rfam family "Bacterial small subunit ribosomal RNA", at positions 29 to 524 of the family's 1533-position model. The record is from RNAcentral.
AACGAACGCUGGCGGCAUGCCUAACACAUGCAAGUCGAACGAGACCUUCGGGUCUAGUGGCGCACGGGUGCGUAACGCGUGGGAAUCUGCCCUUGGGUUCGGAAUAACAGCGAGAAAUUGCUGCUAAUACCGGAUGAUGACGUAAGUCCAAAGAUUUAUCGCCCAAGGAUGAGCCCGCGUAGGAUUAGCUAGUUGGUGAGGUAAAGGCUCACCAAGGCGACGAUCCUUAGCUGGUCUGAGAGGAUGAUCAGCCACACUGGGACUGAGACACGGCCCAGACUCCUACGGGAGGCAGCAGUGGGGAAUAUUGGUCAAUGGGCGCAAGCCUGAACCAGCCAUGCCGCGUGCAGGAUGACGGCCCUAUGGGUUGUAAACUGCUUUGUACGGGAAGAAACCUCAUUACGUGUAAUGAGUUGACGGUACCGUGAGAAUAAGGAUCGGCUAACUUCGUGCCAGCAGCCGCGGUAAU